Molecule: ribosomal RNA, 383 nt
Filed under: uncultured eukaryote
Lineage: Eukaryota
Description: partial 18S ribosomal RNA
Rfam family: Eukaryotic small subunit ribosomal RNA
Source: RNAcentral
CAAUAGCGUAUAUUAAAGUUGUUGCAGUUAAAAAGCUCGUAGUUGGAUUUCUGGUAGGAGUGACCGUUCCGAACUUGAUUGUUCGUGUAUUGUGUUUUCUCCAGCCAUCCUUGUGGAGAACUUUUCUUGCAUUAAUUUGUAGGGAUUGGGACCCGCAUCGUUUACUGUGAAAAAAUUAGAGUGUUUAAAGCAGGCAAUCGCUUGAAUACAUUAGCAUGGAAUAAUAAGAUAGGACUUUGGUACUAUUUUGUUGGUUUGCAUACCAAAUUAAUGAUCAACAGGAACAGUUUGAGGAUAUUCGUAUGAACAUGUCAGAGGUGAAAUCCUUGGAUUUUGAUCAGACGAACUACUGCGAAAGCAUUUAUCAAGGAUGUUUUCAUUAA